CGACAAGAUUUCCAAGACGGUUCCCAAAGGCGCAAAGCGCCCGGGAUGAAAAGGGAACACGGUGCGGUGUAGCCAUCAGGCGCCAAACCCGUGACUGCCCCCGCAACUGUAAGCGGCGAGCCCGCCCGGACAAUGCCACUGACCCCGCAAGGGUUGGGAAGGCCCGGAAAGGCACGGACCCGCAAGUCAGGAGACCUGCCGUCAGGGGCGUGUGCCC
This 217-nucleotide non-coding RNA is filed under the name Rhodovulum sp. Lineage: Bacteria; Pseudomonadati; Pseudomonadota; Alphaproteobacteria; Rhodobacterales; Paracoccaceae. The record is from RNAcentral.